Molecule: ribosomal RNA, 778 nt
Filed under: uncultured Serratia sp.
Lineage: Bacteria; Pseudomonadati; Pseudomonadota; Gammaproteobacteria; Enterobacterales; Yersiniaceae
Description: bacterial SSU rRNA
Rfam family: Bacterial small subunit ribosomal RNA
Source: RNAcentral
GGCGGCCCCUGGACGAGACUGACGCUCAGGUGCGAAAGCGUGGGGAGCAAACAGGAUUAGAUACCUGGUAGUCCACGCUGUAAACGAUGUCGAUUUGGAGGUUGUGCCCGUGAGGCGUGGCUUCCGGAGCUAACGCGUUAAAUCGACCGCUGGGGAGUACGGCCGCAAGGUUAAAACUCAAAUGAAUUGACGGGGGCCCGCACAAGCGGUGGAGCAUGUGGUUUAAUUCGAUGCAACGCGAAGAACCUUACCUACUCUUGACAUCCAGAGAACUUAGCAGAGAUGCUUUGGUGCCUUCGGGAACUCUGAGACAGGUGCUGCAUGGCUGUCGUCAGCUCGUGUUGUGAAAUGUUGGGUUAAGUCCCGCAACGAGCGCAACCCUUAUCCUUUGUUGCCAGCGGUUCGGCCGGGAACUCAAAGGAGACUGCCAGUGAUAAACUGGAGGAAGGUGGGGAUGACGUCAAGUCAUCAUGGCCCUUACGAGUAGGGCUACACACGUGCUACAAUGGCGUAUACAAAGAGAAGCGACCUCGCGAGAGCAAGCGGACCUCAUAAAGUACGUCGUAGUCCGGAUUGGAGUCUGCAACUCGACUCCAUGAAGUCGGAAUCGCUAGUAAUCGUAGAUCAGAAUGCUACGGUGAAUACGUUCCCGGGCCUUGUACACACCGCCCGUCACACCAUGGGAGUGGGUUGCAAAAGAAGUAGGUAGCUUAACCUUCGGGAGGGCGCUUACCACUUUGUGAUUCAUGACUGGGGUGAAGUCGUAACAAGGUAACCA